Molecule: ribosomal RNA, 1437 nt
Filed under: uncultured organism
Description: 16S ribosomal RNA
Rfam family: Bacterial small subunit ribosomal RNA
Source: RNAcentral
CGGGCUUAACACAUGCAAGUCGAGGGGCAUCAGGAAGAAAGCUUGCUUUCUUUGCUGGCGACCGGCGCACGGGUGAGUAACACGUAUCCAACCUGCCCUUUACUCGGGGAUAGCCUUUCGAAAGAAAGAUUAAUACCCGAUAGCAUAAUGAUUCCGCAUGGUUUCAUUAUUAAAGGAUUCCGGUAAAGGAUGGGGAUGCGUUCCAUUAGGUUGUUGGUGAGGUAACGGCCCACCAAGCCUUCGAUGGAUAGGGGUUCUGAGAGGAAGGUCCCCCACAUUGGAACUGAGACACGGUCCAAACUCCUACGGGAGGCAGCAGUGAGGAAUAUUGGUCAAUGGGCGCUAGCCUGAACCAGCCAAGUAGCGUGAAGGAUGAAGGCUCUAUGGGUCGUAAACUUCUUUUAUAUAAGAAUAAAGUGCAGUAUGUAUACUGUUUUGUAUGUAUUAUAUGAAUAAGGAUCGGCUAACUCUGUGCCAGCAGCCGCGGUAAUACGGAGGAUCCGAGCGUUAUCCGGAUUUAUUGGGUUUAAAGGGAGCGUAGGUGGACUGGUAAGUCAGUUGUGAAAGUUUGCGGCUCAACCGUAAAAUUGCAGUUGAUACUGUCAGUCUUGAGUACAGUAGAGGUGGGCGGAAUUCGUGGUGUAGCGGUGAAAUGCUUAGAUAUCACGAAGAACUCCGAUUGCGAAGGCAGCUCACUGGACUGCAACUGACACUGAUGCUCGAAAGUGUGGGUAUCAAACAGGAUUAGAUACCCUGGUAGUCCACACAGUAAACGAUGAAUACUCGCUGUUUGCGAUAUACAGUAAGCGGCCAAGCGAAAGCAUUAAGUAUUCCACCUGGGGAGUACGCCGGCAACGGUGAAACUCAAAGGAAUUGACGGGGGCCCGCACAAGCGGAGGAACAUGUGGUUUAAUUCGAUGAUACGCGAGGAACCUUACCCGGGCUUAAAUUGCAGUGGAAUGAUGUGGAAACAUGUCAGUAAGCAAUCACCGCUGUGAAGGUGCUGCAUGGUUGUCGUCAGCUCGUGCCGUGAGGUGUCGGCUUAAGUGCCAUAACGAGCGCAACCCUUAUCUUUAGUUACUAACAGGUUAUGCUGAGGACUCUAGAGAGACUGCCGUCGUAAGAUGUGAGGAAGGUGGGGAUGACGUCAAAUCAGCACGGCCCUUACGUCCGGGGCUACACACGUGUUACAAUGGGGGGUACAGAAGGCAGCUAGCGGGUGACCGUAUGCUAAUCCCAAAAUCCUCUCCCAGUUCGGAUCGAAGUCUGCAACCCGACUUCGUGAAGCUGGAUUCGCUAGUAAUCGCGCAUCAGCCACGGCGCGGUGAAUACGUUCCCGGGCCUUGUACACACCGCCCGUCAAGCCAUGGGAGCCGGGGGUACCUGAAGUACGUAACCGCAAGGAUCGUCCUAGGGUAAAACUGGUGACUGGGGCUA